CAUGAUAUUCUCUAUUGUGAUAGGGUGGGAGGGAGGAGAAUGCUGGGCCAUUGUGAUGUCUAUCUGUAGACUUUGAGUGUGAGAAUAAGAGAAUUCUUCCUCUGGUACUAUUCAACAGCAGCAGGUUUACACCCACUAGAGGAGAAAGCUUGGAAGACUAAAGACUUCAGGGAACACCCUUUUCCAUUUCAACCCAAGGGGCCCAUUCCUUCCUUAAUAUGGAAAAAAAAUCAAGUAUGCUCCGUGUUCUUGGAGGCAGAGAGAGAAGUCCCUUCCCUAAAUUUACAAUGCAUCCAAGGUUUUGACUAGAUAAAGGCAAAAAAUCAGCAGUUAGUGUCUAGUAGCCUACAAGAGAACGCAUUUGAGGAAAGAUAUUGAAAAGCUGGAAUACAUCUAGAGAAUAGCUACAUGGAUGAGAAAGGGAUUCAAAGUCAUACUGUGAAUAGAAAGAUUGAAACUCCUACAAAUGUUUAGCGUAAAGAAGAAACUACUGGGGGGAAAGAGUAUGAAGUUUAUGGAAAAAGAUAAUGGCCUCUCCAAAAGGUCCUCAUCUCAGUUUACAGAUUUGUUUCUGGAAAAAACAAAAAGGGGGAAACCCGAAGUUAGUGAAAAAACUAAAGAUGAUGCCUCUGUACCCGUCAAAAGAAGAAAGAUCGUUUUUGAACCCCCUAAAACUGCUACCAACUCUGGUCUCUUAAGAAAUAUUGAAAAUAAAAAAAUAUGGAACACAUAUCAGUCAGCUCUGUCACAGUCUAAGUCAACACCAUCAAAAAUACCAUUAUUUAUGAAUGAAAAACCCUCCCCUCCCUGGGAAGACGAGGGAAAAACGGAGGAAGAAUGUCUACUUGAUUCUUUAAGAAAAAUGGUUAAUGAAAACCAAGAGCUAAGGAAAGAAAAUGAAGAAUUGAAGCAAUUAAUUAAAGAAAUGAAGAAUUCUUUCCUACAUAGGUUAUUUACUCCAGACAUCCAUAUGACGACAAUAGACUAUCUACAGCAACUUUUGAGCCAUUUGGAAAAAACAGCUCCAACGAAUAUUUAUUCUUCAUUCCUAAGAGAUGACUUGAAUCUUCAGGAUAAAAAUACAAAACCUUUGAUUAUAGAUCCUCGGGAUCCAGAUAAAUACUCCAAAGUGCUGGUGGACCAACUUAAAGUAUCUUCUGUAGUGAAGAAGGCAAAGCAGCAGAAAUAUUAUCGAGUAGCCUGCUUGUUAAAUGGACUUAUUGAUAUCUUGUUCAGUCCUGAGGAGCUGGCAAGUUCCCGUCAAUCAAGCCUGAAAGGGGAGUUUCCGAAAAAGAAAGAAGAUAAACUAGAAAAAGUUAAAAUUUUAGCUUGUGAAGAAUUUAUCAAGCAAACUUGCAAUAAGGAAGGGUGGAAGGAACCAAGCCAAAGGGAGUUCCAAAAAAUUUUCACAGCCAAGAUAGACAAUGCCCGUUGGAAUAUAAGACACGCCAUGCAAAAAGCUGCCUGAAGAUGUGCCCUUCUUUCUUCUCACCAUUCUACUAUGUAAUACUUUGGCUCAAAGGAAAGUCAGACAAUUAAAUAAGGGAAGUGCUGUAAUUUCUUGCUGUGCAAAUAGAAAGACAAAUUUAUUUUCUCUCAAAUAUCUUGUAAGACAAUCCACAAUGUAUAAGCAUAUCCCAAAUCAUAUUUCUUAUUCUGUCAAAUAGUUUGUAUAAUGUUGGGAUUAGUUGUUCUUUGAAUGUUUGAUAGAAUUCAUUUGUGAAUCCAUCAGAAUCUGGGGAUUUAUUCUUAGGGAGUCCUUUGAUGGCUUGUUCAAUUUCUUUUUCUGAUAUGGGGUUGUUUAGGUUGUCUAAGUCUUCCUCUGUUAGUCUAGGCAAUUUAUAUUUUUGUAAAUGUUCAUAUCACAUAGAUUGCCAUAUUUAUUGCCAUAUAAUUGGAAAUAAUAGUUUUUAAUGAUUGUCUUAAUUUCCUCUUCAUUAGAGGUGAGGCCUCCCUUUUCAUCUUGGAUACUGUCAAUUUGGUUUUCAUCUUUUCUUUUUAAAAUUAGAUUGACCAGUACUUUGUCUAUUUUAUUUGUUUCUUUUAAAAGUACCAGUUUCUAGUCUUAUUUAUUAAAUCAAUAGUUCUUUGACUUUCAAUUUUAUUAAUUUCUCCUUUGGUUUUUAGGAUCUCUAAUUUAGUCUUUAUCUGAAGAUUUUUAAUUUGUUCACUUUCUAGUGUUUUAAUAUGCAUGCCCAAUUCAUUGACCUCUGCUCUUCCUAAUUUGUUUAAUAUAUGAACUCAAGGAUAUAAAUUUCCCCUUGAGUACUGCUGUGGCUGUAUCCCAGAGAUUUUGAAAGGAUGUCUUAUCAUUGUCAUUUUCUUCAAAAAACUUAUUGUUUCUAUGAUUUGAUCUUUAAUGGAUUUUGGAGAAUUGUAUCGUUUAAUUUCCAAUUAAUUUUUUAUUUGCCUCUCCAUGUACCCUUACUUAUUAAUAUUUUCAUUGCAUUGAGGUCUUCUUUCACUAUUUCCUUAUACACCAGUGUUUUGUUUUAAAUCAGUCCCCCUAAACCCCACCCUUAUUUUUUCUUCCCUUUCUACCCCCUCCCUUCUUAUUCCCCUCUUAUUUUCUUUACAGUCUUUUUAAACUAUCCCUUCCUUCCCUUGUAUUGCCCCUCCCCAGUCUGUUUGUUACCCUUCUACUUCCUUAUAGGGUGCAAAUCAAGUCUCUGCCCCAAUGUAUUUGAUUUUUCUUCCCUCUUUUAGUCGAUUUUAAUGCAUGGAAGAGUUGGGUAUUUCCUAUCUCCAACCUCUUUAUCCUUCCAGUGUAUUGAUGCUCUCACCCCCUCCCACCAUGCGCUUCUUUGUGACAUAUAAAUUGACCACAUUUUGUUUCUUUUCCCAUUUCUCUUAAUAUUAACCUCUUUUUUAAAACUCUAGUUGUAUACAUACACAUAUAUACAGAACUAGAUAAUAUAUAUACAGAACUAGAUAAAUCAAACCAAAUAUAUAUAUAUACACAUAUGUAUGAAUUUAUGCAUACAUAUAUCUAUAUACAUAUUUGUGUCUUGGCAUUUCAUCCUAUACAGUUUGUCACUGUUCCCUCUAAGUAUAAUUCUUCUAGCUACCCAGGUGAUAAUAACAAUUUUUAAGAGUUAUCAAUGUCCUCUUUUCUUAUAGGGAUACAUAUCAUUUUAAUUUAUUGAAUCUUUAAGAAAAGUUUUUUUGUUUUGUUUUGUUUUUCUUACCCCCCCCCCUUCUUAAUUACCUCUUGAUGAUUCUCUUGAGUUCUGUAUUUGGGCAUCAAUAUUCUGUUUAGGUCUGGUAUUUUCUUUACAAAUGCUUGGAAUUCUUUUAUUUUGUUAAAUGACCAUACUUUCCCCAGUAAGAAUAUAGUCAGUUUUGCUGGGUAGAUGAUUCUUGGUUGUAGGCCUUGUUCCCUUGCUUUCUGGAAUAUCAUAUUCCAUGCCUUUAGGUCCUUCAAUGUAGAUGCAGCCAGAUCCUGUGUUAUCCUCACUGUGGUUCCAUGGUAUGUGAAUGACUUCUUAGCAGCUUGAAAUAUUUUUUCCUUGGUCCGAUAGUUCUUGAAUUUGGCUAUAACCUUCCUGGGUGUUGUCAGUUGGGCAUUACCACAUCAUAUUUCUUAAACCAAUAUAAUUUCCUUAUAACAUCCUAAUACACUUCCACCCAACUUAUUGUGGGGUAACAUCCAACAGAGUUGUCCUUGGUGUCAGGAAGACUUGAAUUCAAGUUUUAAAACAUACUGACUGUGUGACUAUUGUGACUAUUAAGUCAUCAGGGACAAAGGCAACUUUCUAAAAUGUGUCCAGGUCUCUGUCCUGGUUUCUCCUCUUUAUAUAUAAUUUCACCAGAUGAUCUCAUCAGGUCCCAUGAAUUCAAUUAUCAUCUCCUAUCAGAUUAUUAUCAGAUUGAUCUAUCUUGUCCUAAUUUUUUUCUUCACCCCCAAUCUUAUAUCUUCAACUACCUAUUAGAUAUCUCAAAAUAGAUGCCACAUAUCCACUCUAAAUUCCACAAAUCUAAAACUGAAUUUAUUUUUUCUCCUUCUGAUUUCCCUGAUACUGUCAAGGACACUGCCAUCUUUUCAGUCACUCCUGAUCACAUGCAGUUGUAAUUUUCAACUCCUAAGAUCAUUUAUCUCCCAAAUCGAAUCUGUUGCUGAGUUCUGCUGAUUUUGCCUUCAACAUUCUCAUGCAUUCCUCUCCACCUUCUCUUUUCUGAUACUGUGAUUGCCUUGGAAUAGGCCUUCAUCACCUCACACCUAGACCUUGGAAAUAGCUUUCUGGCCUCCCUACAUCAAAUGUGUUCUUGCUCUAGUUCAUUCUCCAUUCAGCUGUCAAAGUAAUCUUCCUAAAAUGCUGGCCUGAACAUGGCACACAUCCCGAAUCAGUAAACUCCAGUAACUUCCUAUCACCUCUAGUUUCAAAUAUGAAAUCUUCUAGAGUUCAUAACUCCCACCCAUCGCCCUUUUCAGUUCUCUUUCUUUUUUAUUAAACCUUCACGUUCUCUUAGGAUUGAUUCUAAAUAUUGGUUCCAAGGUAUAAGAUCAGUAAGGACCAGGCAAUUAAUGUUACCUAGGGCCACAAAACUUGGAAGUGUCUGAGGUUAGAAUUGAACCAAGGUCCUUCUCACUUCAGGUCUGGCUCUCUAACCAUUGUACCAUCUAGCUGACCCUCCACUUGUCUUUUGUUUUAUACUCCAUCACACAGUGACAAUGACCUUCCUUGCUGGGUCCUGAAUAAGAAAUUCUAUCUCCAGUUUGGGACAUUUUAACUGGAUGUGUGCCAUUCCUGGAAUUCCCUCCUUCUUCUUCUCUGUCUCCUGGAUUAUCUGGCUUUUCUCAAAUCUUAGCUAAAAUCUCAUCUUCUGUAAAACCUUUCUCAAUCUCCCGUAGUGCUAAUGCCUUUCCUCUAUUGCAUAUCUCCACUCUCCCCUGUAUAUAUCUUGUAUGAACAUAGUUCUUUUCAUAGUAUCUCCCGCAUUAGAUUGUGAGCAUCUUGAGGCCUUUUUUGGUAUCUCUAGUUUUUUUAGCACAGCUCCUGGCACAUAGUAGGUACAUAAGAAUGCUUAUUGUUGAUUGACUGAUGACCUUCACUGGUAGAAGGAUUUUCUUCCCUAGAGAUCUCCUUUUACAGAUGAAAUCAGGAAUGUAAAAAAAAAGUCUAUUAACAACAGUAGCAGAGCAACUCUACAGUAACAGCACAAAACCACUGACACAUUCUCCAUCAUCAACAUAGGAAUCAGGUGGGUGACAAUGACUUAGACUACCUUAAAACUCCAUAACAUUAACCUCAUUCUCAAACAAUCCCACUGUUUCUCCUCUUUAAAAUAAAACAUUGUUCCCAUGGGAGUAUCUCUUUCCU
This is a long non-coding RNA of Monodelphis domestica (gray short-tailed opossum), 5321 nucleotides long. Lineage: Eukaryota; Metazoa; Chordata; Mammalia; Didelphimorphia; Didelphidae. The record is from Ensembl.